CGAUGCCUGCGAAGUMGCGAGAAGUCCACUGAACCUUAUCAUUUAGAGGAAGGAGAAGUCGUAACAAGGUUUCCGGAGGUGAACGUGCGGAAGGAUCAUUG
Molecule: ribosomal RNA, 101 nt
Filed under: Phylica lachneaeoides
Lineage: Eukaryota; Viridiplantae; Streptophyta; Magnoliopsida; Rosales; Rhamnaceae
Description: partial 18S ribosomal RNA
Rfam family: Eukaryotic small subunit ribosomal RNA
Source: RNAcentral